AACAUCGCUAUGGUGAAUGGAGACUUGUGGCGAGCGGCCUUGGAGAGAGGGGAGCUAACAACGAAAGUGUUGGUGGUGAUAUCGAUGGCUAGGAGGCGGUGAGGAGGGAGGUCACACAGUGAAGGUGAGUAGAUCGAGCAUGGAGGGUUGGAGCUUCAAAGAGGGAUAGAAACUCGGGGCUAAACCUAGGGAUUGAAGAAGAGUAAUCUCAUGGGUUCGAUACAUUCUUGUGGUGCCAGGCAGGAAACAAGGAGGAGGAUGGAGGAGUGUGUGUGGAGAUUGACGAGGUUGACCUAACCUUGUCCAUGGAAGUGACAAUGAUAGGUGCACUAUAGCGAGGGAAAGGAUUAGUGAAAGGUCAGGGUGUCUGUGGCAUGGUGAUGUUGGGUUUGUGCCGAAAGCGGCGCACCCGAUGUUACUCUUAUAGGUAACGUGGGUCAAAUGGAACCAUAAGAGUAGUAUACUAGUAGUAUUCAAUAUUCGCCGUAGUUGUAGCUAUAGUUGUAGUGAAAAUCUUAAAAUAGGUUUCAUAUAAGAGGAAAAAAAAUCUAUACAAAAGGCAAUUUAAGGUUUGAAAAGUAUAAAAAAAUAAUUAAGUAUCUAAAAAAAGCCUAAUAAACAAAAAUUAAAAUGCCCAGCUUGGACUUCGAGCCC
RNAcentral lists this long non-coding RNA (654 nucleotides) under Sorghum bicolor (sorghum). Its description in RNAcentral is "long non-coding RNA (SBIC_LNC002691)". The record is from RNAcentral. Lineage: Eukaryota; Viridiplantae; Streptophyta; Magnoliopsida; Poales; Poaceae.